UUGAUCCUGGCUCAGAUUGAACGCUGGCGGCAGGCCUAACACAUGCAAGUCGAACGGUAGCACAGAGAGCUUGCUCUCGGGUGACGAGUGGCGGACGGGUGAGUAAUGUCUGGGAAACUGCCUGAUGGAGGGGGAUAACUACUGGAAACGGUAGCUAAUACCGCAUAACGUCGCAAGACCAAAGAGGGGGACCUUCGGGCCUCUUGCCAUCAGAUGUGCCCAGAUGGGAUUAGCUAGUAGGUGGGGUAACGGCUCACCUAGGCGACGAUCCCUAGCUGGUCUGAGAGGAUGACCAGCCACACUGGAACUGAGACACGGUCCAGACUCCUACGGGAGGCAGCAGUGGGGAAUAUUGCACAAUGGGCGCAAGCCUGAUGCAGCCAUGCCGCGUGUAUGAAGAAGGCCUUCGGGUUGUAAAGUACUUUCAGCGGGGAGGAAGGUGUUGUGGUUAAUAACCACAGCAAUUGACGUUACCCGCAGAAGAAGCACCGGCUAACUCCGUGCCAGCAGCCGCGGUAAUACGGAGGGUGCAAGCGUUAAUCGGAAUUACUGGGCGUAAAGCGCACGCAGGCGGUCUGUCAAGUCGGAUGUGAAAUCCCCGGGCUCAACCUGGGAACUGCAUUCGAAACUGGCAGGCUAGAGUCUUGUAGAGGGGGGUAGAAUUCCAGGUGUAGCGGUGAAAUGCGUAGAGAUCUGGAGGAAUACCGGUGGCGAAGGCGGCCCCCUGGACAAAGACUGACGCUCAGGUGCGAAAGCGUGGGGAGCAAACAGGAUUAGAUACCCUGGUAGUCCACGCCGUAAACGAUGUCGACUUGGAGGUUGUGCCCUUGAGGCGUGGCUUCCGGAGCUAACGCGUUAAGUCGACCGCCUGGGGAGUACGGCCGCAAGGUUAAAACUCAAAUGAAUUGACGGGGGCCCGCACAAGCGGUGGAGCAUGUGGUUUAAUUCGAUGCAACGCGAAGAACCUUACCUACUCUUGACAUCCAGAGAACUUUCCAGAGAUGGAUUGGUGCCUUCGGGAACUCUGAGACAGGUGCUGCAUGGCUGUCGUCAGCUCGUGUUGUGAAAUGUUGGGUUAAGUCCCGCAACGAGCGCAACCCUUAUCCUUUGUUGCCAGCGGUCCGGCCGGGAACUCAAAGGAGACUGCCAGUGAUAAACUGGAGGAAGGUGGGGAUGACGUCAAGUCAUCAUGGCCCUUACGAGUAGGGCUACACACGUGCUACAAUGGCGCAUACAAAGAGAAGCGAACUCGCGAGAGCAAGCGGACCUCAUAAAGUGCGUCGUAGUCCGGAUUGGAGUCUGCAACUCGACUCCAUGAAGUCGGAAUCGCUAGUAAUCGUAGAUCAGAAUGCUACGGUGAAUACGUUCCCGGGCCUUGUACACACCGCCCGUCACACCAUGGGAGUGGGUUGCAAAAGAAGUAGGUAGCUUAACCUUCGGGAGGGCGCUUACCACUUUGUGAUUCAUGACUGGGGUGAAGUCGUAACAAGGUAACCUCAGUCAGUCA
This 1507-nucleotide ribosomal RNA is filed under the name uncultured bacterium. RNAcentral's name for it is "bacterial SSU rRNA". It matches the Rfam family "Bacterial small subunit ribosomal RNA". The record is from RNAcentral.